AAACCAUGGUGAGGGCACCUUCUCUAUAUAUCCUUAUACCUCUCCCAUACAUCAUAUAAAGUCUCUAAAUCGAUCUACACAAAGAAAGAGAUAUCGUUCCUCAAUUU
Molecule: small nucleolar RNA, 107 nt
Filed under: Gossypium arboreum
Lineage: Eukaryota; Viridiplantae; Streptophyta; Magnoliopsida; Malvales; Malvaceae
Description: Plant small nucleolar RNA R71
Rfam family: Plant small nucleolar RNA R71
About the family: R71 is a member of the C/D box family of snoRNAs containing the C (UGAUGA) and D (CUGA) box motifs. Multiple nearly identical copies of this snoRNA have been identified in Arabidopsis, and it is thought to function as a 2'-O-ribose methylation guide for 18S ribosomal RNA.
Source: Rfam by way of RNAcentral